GGCUCAGGACGAACGCUGGCGGCGUGCCUAACACAUGCAAGUCGAGCGGAGUCAGUAAGAGGAGUUUCGGAUGGAAUCUGUGAUUAGCGGCGGACGGGUGAGUAACGCGUGAGCGACCAACCUUGCACAGGGGGGAUAACGGACCGAAAGGUUCACUAAUACCGCAUGAGACCACGGUGUUGCAUGACACAGAGGUCAAAAGGAGCAAUCCGGGUGCAAGACGGGCUCGCGUCCGAUUAGGUAGUUGGAGGGGUAACGGCCCACCAAGCCUAUGAUCGGUAGCCGACCUGAGAGGGUGAUCGGCCACAUUGGAACUGAGAUACGGUCCAAACUCCUACGGGAGGCAGCAGUGGGGAAUAUUGGGCAAUGGGGGGAAAAACCCCUGACCCAGCAACGCCGCGUGAAGGAAGAAGGUUUUCGGAUUGUAAACUUCUGUCCUUGGUGAAGAGAAGAAGACGGUAGCCAAGGAGGAAGCCCCGGCUAACUACGUGCCAGCCGCAGC
This 502-nucleotide ribosomal RNA is filed under the name uncultured bacterium. RNAcentral describes it as "bacterial SSU rRNA". It matches the Rfam family "Bacterial small subunit ribosomal RNA", at positions 21 to 518 of the family's 1533-position model. The record is from RNAcentral.